UACGAAGGGGGCUAGCGUUGCUCGGAAUCACUGGGCGUAAAGCGCACGUAGGCGGACUCUUAAGUCGGUGGUGAAAUCCUGGAGCUCAACUCCAGAACUGCCUUCGAUACUGAGAGUCUUGAGUCCGGGAGAGGUGAGUGGAACUGCGAGUGUAGAGGUGAAAUUCGUAGAUAUUCGCAAGAACACCAGUGGCGAAGGCGGCUUUCUGGGUCUUACCUGACGCUGAGGAACGAAAGCCAGGGGAGCGAACGGG
Molecule: ribosomal RNA, 253 nt
Filed under: uncultured bacterium
Lineage: Bacteria
Description: partial 16S ribosomal RNA
Rfam family: Bacterial small subunit ribosomal RNA
Source: RNAcentral